ACUCAAAGGAAUUGACGGGGACCCGCACAAGCAGCGGAGCAUGUGGUUUAAUUCGAAGCAACGCGAAGAACCUUACCUGGACUUGACAUCCCUUGGCCCGCUUCUUAACCGAAGCUUUCCCUUCGGGGACUGAGGAGACAGGUGGUGCAUGGUUGUCGUCAGCUCGUGUCGUGAGAUGUUGGGUUAAGUCCCGUAACGAGCGCAACCCUUGUCUUUAGUUGCCAUCACUUAGGGUGGGCACUCUAAAGAGACUGCCAAGGUUAACUUGGAGGAAGGUGGGGAUGACGUCAAAUCAUCAUGCCCCUUAUGUUCAGGGCUACACACGUGCUACAAUGGCCGAUACAAAGGGUAGCGAAAGAGUAAUCUGGAGCCAAUCCCAUAAAGUCGGUCCCAGUUCGGAUUGUGGGCUGCAACUCGCCCACAUGAAGUCGGAGUUGCUAGUAAUCGUGGAUCAGCAUGCCACGGUGAAUGCGUUCCCGGGUCUUGCACACACCGCCCGU
This 500-nucleotide ribosomal RNA is filed under the name uncultured bacterium. Its description in RNAcentral is "bacterial SSU rRNA". It matches the Rfam family "Bacterial small subunit ribosomal RNA", at positions 899 to 1397 of the family's 1533-position model. The record is from RNAcentral.